Molecule: small nucleolar RNA, 94 nt
Filed under: Procavia capensis (Cape rock hyrax)
Lineage: Eukaryota; Metazoa; Chordata; Mammalia; Hyracoidea; Procaviidae
Description: Small nucleolar RNA SNORD91 family (ENSPCAG00000019185.1)
Rfam family: Small nucleolar RNA SNORD91 family
About the family: The members of this family belong to the C/D class of snoRNAs which contain the C (UGAUGA) and D (CUGA) box motifs. Most of the members of the box C/D family function in directing site-specific 2'-O-methylation of substrate RNAs.
Source: RNAcentral
UACAGAAGUCAGUGAUGAUUCCAUCCAAAAUAUCUGAACUUGUCUGAAGCAUCUUGUGAUGCCAUUUCUGUGUGGUUCUGAGACAGAUUUUCUA